CCUACGGGAGGCAGCAGUGAGGAAUAUUGGUCAAUGGCCGUAAGGCUGAACCAGCCAAGUAGCGUGAGGGACGACUGCCCUAUGGGUUGUAAACUUCUUUUAUGCGGGGCUAUAGGUGUCCACUUUUGGCUGUUUGCAGGUACCGCCUGAAUAAGGUCCGCCUAAUUCCGUGCCAGCAGCCGCGGUAAUCCGGAAGGUCCGGGCGUUAUCCGGUUUUUUUGGGUUUAAAGGGAGUUUAGGCCGGUCUUUAAUCGUGCCGUGAAAUUUUGUGGCUAAACCAUGAGAGUGCGGUGCGAACUGGAGACCUUGAGUGCGCGGAAGGCAGGCGGAAUUCGUGGUGUAGCGG
Molecule: ribosomal RNA, 346 nt
Filed under: uncultured bacterium
Lineage: Bacteria
Description: partial 16S ribosomal RNA
Rfam family: Bacterial small subunit ribosomal RNA
Source: RNAcentral